GAGAGGUGGGGGGAGAGAAAGGGUAAGGAAGAAGUAGGACGAGAUUAGAGGAAACCCAAGAAAGGAGCCCCUACUGCAAAAGCCAGGAAACAUCAGUCCGAAUUGGCUGAGACCCCGACUCCAGCGGUCCCAAGCCGGGGCCUCCCCACCCCCACCGCCGCAGAGUCGCCUUCGUAGACACCUCCCAAGGCUGCUCGCAGCGCAGCGGGCGCCAGAAAUGCAAAGAAAGAAGGGGAAUCACACUCUGACUUGUAGGUGAAAGAAGUAAUUCCUGCUCCUGGUCAUCUCACGUCGUCUUUAACCACGUAACCAAGGCAUAUUUAUCUAUCAACAAGAAUUAACCAAGGAAGAAAGAAUGAGUAAGUAGGAAGACACGUUCAGAAGCCUGGCUUAUGAACUUCCUGGUGCCAUCUCCAGGUUUACAUUGCCCUCUUUAGGCAAACACAUGACAGUU
Long non-coding RNA from Sciurus carolinensis (gray squirrel), 454 nucleotides. RefSeq lists it as uncharacterized. The record is from RefSeq and is a predicted model, not a curated record. The transcript is spliced from 3 exons. NCBI's taxonomy places the organism in Eukaryota, Metazoa, Chordata, Mammalia, Rodentia, Sciuridae.